AGAGUUUGAUCAUGGCUCAGAUUGAACGCNGGCGGCAUNCCUUACACAUGCAAGUCGAACGGCAGCAUGAUCUAGCUUGCUAGAUUGAUGGCGAGUGGCGAGCGGGUGAGUAAUACAUCGGAACGUGCCCUGUAGUGGGGGAUAACUAGUCGAAAGAUUAGCUAAUACCGCAUACGACNUGAGGGUGAAAGUGGGGGACCGCAAGGCCUCAUGCUAUAGGAGCGGCCGAUGUCUGAUUAGCUAGUUGGUGAGGUAAAGGCUCACCAAGGCGACGAUCAGUAGCUGGUCUGAGAGGACGAUCAGCCACACUGGGACUGAGACACGGCCCAGACUCCUACGGGGGGCAGCAGUGGGGAAUUUUGGACAAUGGGGGCAACCCUGAUCCAGCAAUGCCGCGUGUGUGAAGAAGGCCUUCGGGUUGUAAGCACUUUUGUCCGGAAAGAAAUCGCACUUACUAAUAUUAGGUGUGGAUGACGGUACCGGAAGAAUAAGGACCGGCUAACUACGUGCCAGCAGCCGCGGUAAUACGUAGGGUCCAAGCGUUAAUCGGAAUUACUGGGCGUAAAGCGUGCGCAGGCGGUUGUGCAAGACCGAUGUGAAAUCCCCGGGCUUAACCUGGGAAUUGCAUUGGUGACUGCACGGCUAGAGUGUGUCAGAGGGGGGUAGAAUUCCACGUGUAGCAGUGAAAUGCGUAGAGAUGUGGAGGAAUACCGAUGGCGAAGGCAGCCCCCUGGGAUAACACUGACGCUCAUGCACGAAAGCGUGGGGAGCAAACAGGAUUAGAUACCCUGGUAGUCCACGCCCUAAACGAUGUCAACUAGUUGUUGGGGAUUCAUUUCCUUAGUAACGUAGCUAACGCGUGAAGUUGACCGCCUGGGGAGUACGGUCGCAAGAUUAAAACUCAAAUGAAUUGACGGG
This 918-nucleotide ribosomal RNA is filed under the name uncultured bacterium. RNAcentral describes it as "bacterial SSU rRNA". It matches the Rfam family "Bacterial small subunit ribosomal RNA", at positions 8 to 917 of the family's 1533-position model. The record is from RNAcentral.